This 378-nucleotide ribosomal RNA is filed under the name uncultured bacterium. RNAcentral describes it as "bacterial SSU rRNA". It matches the Rfam family "Bacterial small subunit ribosomal RNA", at positions 521 to 898 of the family's 1533-position model. The record is from RNAcentral.
UAAUACGUAGGUGGCAAGCGUUGUCCGGAUUUAUUGGGCGUAAAGCGCGCGCAGGCGGCUAUGUAAGUCUGGUGUUAAAGCCCGGGGCUCAACCCCGGUUCGCAUCGGAAACUGCAGAGCUUGAGUGCAGAAGAGGAAAGCGGUAUUCCACGUGUAGCGGUGAAAUGCGUAGAGAUGUGGAGGAACACCAGUGGCGAAGGCGGCUUUCUGGUCUGUAACUGACGCUGAGGCGCGAAAGCGUGGGGAGCAAACAGGAUUAGAUACCCUGGUAGUCCACGCCGUAAACGAUGAGUGCUAGGUGUUGGGGGUUUCAAUACCCUCAGUGCCGCAGCUAACGCAAUAAGCACUCCGCCUGGGGAGUACGCUCGCAAGAGUGAA